GAUGAACGCUAGCGGCAGGCCUAAUACAUGCAAGUCGGACGGGAUCCAUUGAUAGCUUGCUAUCAAUGGUGAGAGUGGCGCACGGGUGCGUAACGCGUGAGCAACCUGCCUCCAUCAGGGGGAUAGCCUCUCGAAAGAGAGAUUAACACCGCAUAAUAUCAACAGUUCGCAUGUUCAGUUGAUUAAAUAUUUAUAGGAUGGAGAUGGGCUCGCGUGACAUUAGCUAGUUGGUAGGGUAACGGCUUACCAAGGCGACGAUGUCUAGGGGCUCUGAGAGGAGCAUCCCCCACACUGGUACUGAGACACGGACCAGACUCCUACGGGAGGCAGCAGUAAGGAAUAUUGGUCAAUGGGCGGAAGCCUGAACCAGCCAUGCCGCGUGCAGGAUGACUGCCCUAUGGGUUGUAAACUGCUUUUGUCCAGGAAUAAACCUAAAUACGAGUAUUUAGCUGAAUGUACUGGAAGAAUAAGGAUCGGCUAACUCCGUG
RNAcentral lists this ribosomal RNA (488 nucleotides) under uncultured bacterium. RNAcentral's name for it is "partial 16S ribosomal RNA". It matches the Rfam family "Bacterial small subunit ribosomal RNA", at positions 28 to 507 of the family's 1533-position model. The record is from RNAcentral.